RNAcentral lists this ribosomal RNA (468 nucleotides) under uncultured bacterium. RNAcentral's name for it is "partial 16S ribosomal RNA". It matches the Rfam family "Bacterial small subunit ribosomal RNA", at positions 28 to 507 of the family's 1533-position model. The record is from RNAcentral.
GACGAACGCUGGCGGCGUGCUUAACACAUGCAAGUCGAACGGAAAGGCCCUGCUUUUGUGGGGUGCUCGAGUGGCGAACGGGUGAGUAACACGUGAGUAACCUGCCCUUGACUUUGGGAUAACUUCAGGAAACUGGGGCUAAUACCGGAUAGGAGCUCCUGCUGCAUGGUGGGGGUUGGAAAGUUUCGGCGGUUGGGGAUGGACUCGCGGCUUAUCAGCUUGUUGGUGGGGUAGUGGCUUACCAAGGCUUUGACGGGUAGCCGGCCUGAGAGGGUGACCGGCCACAUUGGGACUGAGAUACGGCCCAGACGCCUACGGGAGGCAGCAGUGGGGAAUAUUGCACAAUGGGCGGAAGCCUGAGGCAGCAACGCCGCGUGCGGGAUGACGGCCUUCGGGUUGUAAACCGCUUUCGCCUGUGACGAAGCGUGAGUGACGGUAAUGGGCAAAGAAGCACCGGCUAACUACGUG